Molecule: non-coding RNA, 226 nt
Filed under: Granulicatella elegans
Lineage: Bacteria; Bacillati; Bacillota; Bacilli; Lactobacillales; Carnobacteriaceae
Description: T-box sequence
Rfam family: T-box leader
About the family: Uncharged tRNA acts as the effector for transcription antitermination of genes in the T-box leader family. T-boxes are found upstream of many aminoacyl-tRNA synthetase genes and some amino acid biosynthetic genes usually in Gram-positive bacteria.
Source: RNAcentral
AAAAGCACUGUGAAAAGGUGAGUAGAGAAGGAAACUUGUUUAGAGAGUCUCGGUAGGUGAAAAGAGAUCAAGGUUGAAUUUUUGAAGAUGGCCUUGGAGUGUUAGAUAUUGAAUGAUUAAAUAUCUACGGGUAGCCCGAUAUAGCAAGAGUAUAAAGAUACUUAUAGAGGGAAUUAUUGAGAAAUAAUUCUAAAACAAGGUGGUAACGCGAAUUUUCGUCCUUGCA